UACGAAGGGGGCUAGCGUUGCUCGGAAUUACUGGGCGUAAAGGGCGCGUAGGCGGCGCAUUUAGUCAGGCGUGAAAGCCCUGGGCUCAACCUGGGGACUGCGCUUGAUACGGGUGUGCUAGAGGACGGAAGAGGGUCGCGGAAUUCCCAGUGUAGAGGUGAAAUUCGUAGAUAUUCGGAGGAACACCAGAAGCGAAGGCGGCCAACUGGCCCGAUACUGACGCUGAGGCGCGAAAGCGUGGGGAGCAAACAGG
Molecule: ribosomal RNA, 253 nt
Filed under: uncultured bacterium
Lineage: Bacteria
Description: partial 16S ribosomal RNA
Rfam family: Bacterial small subunit ribosomal RNA
Source: RNAcentral